ACGGUAUCGAGCAAGAGCAUAUUUGAUAGGACCCGAAAGAUGGUGAACUUCGCUUGAGUAGGGUGAAGCCAGGGGAAACUCUGGUGAAAGCUCGAAGCGGUACUGACGUGCAAAUCGUUCGUCAAACUUGAGUGAAGGGGCGAAAGACUAAUCGAACCAUCUAGUAGCUGGUUCCCUCUGAAGUUUCUCUCAGGAUAGCUGGAACAAAAACGCAGUUUUAUUAGGUAAAGCGAAUGAUUAGAGGAAUCGGAGUUCAAAGAAUUUUGACCUAUUCUCAAACUUUAAAUUGGUAAGAACCGG
This 300-nucleotide ribosomal RNA is filed under the name Anophryoides haemophila. RNAcentral's name for it is "partial Eukaryotic large subunit ribosomal RNA". It matches the Rfam family "Eukaryotic large subunit ribosomal RNA", at positions 784 to 1083 of the family's 3401-position model. Lineage: Eukaryota; Ciliophora; Oligohymenophorea; Philasterida; Glauconematidae. The record is from RNAcentral.